CAGCCGCCACGGGAAUACGAACCGUGCGAACGUUAUUCGGAAUCACUGGGCUUAAAGCGCGUGUAGGCGGAUGGGAGCGUCGGCCUCUGAAGUCCCCCGGCUCAACCGGGGAAGUGGAGCCGAAACGACCCGUCUGGAGGGACGUAGGGGGACCUGGAACUUCCGGUGGAGCGGUGAAAUGCGUUGAGAUCGGAAGGAACGCCCGUGGCGAAAGCGAGGUCCUGGACGUCUGCUGACGCUGAGACGCGAAAGCCAGGGGAGCGAACGGGAUUAGAUACCCCCGUAGUCCCUGUCUCUUAUA
This 301-nucleotide ribosomal RNA is filed under the name uncultured bacterium. RNAcentral describes it as "partial 16S ribosomal RNA". It matches the Rfam family "Bacterial small subunit ribosomal RNA", at positions 509 to 807 of the family's 1533-position model. The record is from RNAcentral.